ACCCAUCUCUCAAACUCCUCCUCAAACCUCUCUCUCUCUCAUCUCCGAUCAGAGCUCAGGCAAAUGGCGGCAACAAUGGCGACAUCAGCCAAAUGCAUGUCAUCUCCUCCUAAACCCCUAAACCAAACCAAACCCAUCUCUUCCAAACCCUUCAUCUCCCUCCCAACCCCACCAAAACCCACCGUCUCUCUCGCCGUCACAAGCACCGCCCUCGCCGGCGCCGUCUUCUCCGCCCUCAGCUACUCCGAACCCGCUUUCGCCGCCCACCAGAUCGCUAACCUCGCCGCGGCCGCCGCCGUGGAAGGCAGCGACAACCGUGGCUUAGCUCUCCUCCUCCCGAUCGUCCCGGCCAUCGGAUGGGUCCUCUUCAACAUCCUCCAGCCUGCUCUUAACCAGGUCAACAAGAUGCGCGAGAGCAGAGGAGUCGUCGUUGGUCUUGGCAUCGGCGGUGGUCUCGCCGCGUCCGGGCUUUUGACUUCGCCGCCUGAGGCAUCGGCGAGUGUGGCUAACGAGAUGGCGGCGGUGGCGGAAGCUGCGGCGAAAGUUGGAGACAACAGGGGACAGUUGUUGUUGUUUGUGGUUGCUCCGGCUCUGCUUUGGGUUCUUUACAAUAUAUUGCAGCCUGCUUUGAACCAACUCAACAAAAUGAGGUCUAAAUAAAAAAUAAAACUUUUUAUAUUAUCUUUGUUGGGAUUCAAAUGUAAGAUUAAUCCUUUGUUUUAUGGACAGUUUUAUGUUUAAAUUUUGGGACAAUUAUCAUCCUUGUUUGAUCUCGUCUGCUACUACUAUAUACUCCGAUUUUUAACUGUAACUAGGUUGCGCUUAUAAGAUCAUUUGUCCCUAUAUAUACAUGGUUUUGUUGUUUCAAAAUCAUCAUAACCUAUCGUAAAUACUAAUCUAAGCCAAAACAUAAACUUUAUGUCCUUGGCUAUAACAAUGUUCAGUUUGUAAAAUGCAUUGCAAACUGAACAUUGUUACCUCCCAUUCCUCUUGAUUCCUUUGUAAGCCAUAUUGAAAGGUUUCACCUUCUCAAGGUACUCUCGCAGAGACAUUGGUGGCUUCUCAUUAAUGUCAGGAUUCAAUUUUUGCUCACACUCAAUCUAGAGACACAGAAAACUUGAGAGAUUCAACAUAUAUUUUCAUGCAAAGCCAAACAACAAAAAGGCACUUUCUCCAUCGGUUCCUUGAGCUGAAACACCAAGUUCACAAUGAAAGAACCAAAGACCUCAGAGGCUGUUAAAACUUGAUAAACUCUGAGAAUCAUACAGGCCUAUUAAGUUAACAAUCGUCUACAUUUCAAAGCUACCACAAGUUAUGAAUCAUAUCACAUGUCCUACCACAUUGCUUCUCGUUGAAAAUUCAGUAUCAGCAUUUUCUUGCAUCAAGUUGUAAACUUUACCACGAGAUUGGUUUCAUAAGCAUCAUGAGCAGUAUGAUGCAAAUCCCUUUCGCAUAUACCCUUCAUAAACCUUGUGCUAAAUGUUUCAUAAUCUUAGGUCCCAUUUUUCUUAUCAAACUUCUCUCCAUCGACAGAAUCUCCAACGAAUAUAUUCAAAGCCUCUUGUUCAGCUGAGAAACCCGGAAUUGGAUUCAUGGAAAAGAAUAGAAAUUUAAGAUGAGGAAUCAGAAGAAGGAGAUGAGAAGAUGGAAGAACUUUGAGGUUAAAGGUGUGGCUGAUCAGAUCAGAGACGCCACUCUCUGAUCUUCUCUCCAUAUCAUCCAUCUUCACUGCCGAUUGCGGAACCUCGUCCACGGCCGCGGCCACGGUCAGCGACGUCGGAGGAAGAGGAGAAAUGAGAUUUGGGUUGUUGUUGGAUGAGAAAAUGGAAUCUGUUUGGCUAUGGAUGAAAGCAUAAUGCCAUUAGGGUUUGACAAUCUUCUUCCUAUAGCAGCACCUCUCAUCUGGUGAUUUCUUCAAGCAAGAAUUUCUAAAUACAAUGGUCAAUGGCGAUCGAAAAUUUCCGAUUUCGAAGGUUUUUUAAUUUUCCGUUACUGUGUGAAAAAUGGGGGUAUUUCUCACGUGACGCCUUUUCAGAUGGAUCAAUUAUUGCAUAAUUUCACUCCCGUCCCUAAUGUUUUUCAUUCCAGACGAAAACGGAUCUAUCUUUUCGAAUAGAUUAAGAACCCCCAAUAAUUGGAGCUAUUAGGCAAAGUUAUGCUUGGCGAGUAAGCAUCAUGCGUCGACAUAUAGCUAGUGCAUGUAAUUUUCUUGUUCUGGCUCCAAUAGAGCAUAUGAUGUAAAUGAAUAAACCGGUGGUUAAUUAGAUUAAGUAGACCCUCAUUACCUUUCGUUAGUCACCUAAUGUCGUGUGUUUGACUGUUUAACUAUUAAUGAAUUGAUGUGUGUAACAAGCUAAAUUAUCCAAUACCAAUGGCCACAUGGCUUGGUUUCCUAAAUAUAGGUGAAAUACGUUACUUGUAAAUUGUAAUAACCUCUCAAAACAUUUCAUUACUUUUUCCAACAUUCAAUUUUAUUCAAAUAAAUAAAUAAAAAAAAAGUGAGGAUAUCAACGAUUCGUGUACGUUAGUCUUUUGAAUUUUAGAACACGGAAACAAUCUGGGGAACAUGGAGAAACUAAUAAUAGCUUACAAGUCUUACAAAGAUCAAGAACAGUAACUUUCAAGAUACCAACUGCAAGAAGAAGAAAGUCUUGCAGUAACUUAAGCCCUGACAAAAAGUUUUCAUUCCUUUUUCCUGGAGUCUUUAAGCAGACCCUUCUUCCGGAUCUGGAGGCACCUCUUAAUGUUAAAGGAUUCAAAAACGCUCUCGGGCAAUGCAGAGACAACAAAACCCAUGAGGGCAUGAGGCCAGUACGGUGUGCACCGUGCUUCAUAGCCUACAAAACGCAGUGCUGCCUUUGCGUAUCCCUCUGGAGAUGCCACCAAGAAAGAUGCUCUUCUUAUUGAUGUCAUCUUUGUCGCAACAUACAAGGGAACCUAUGAAAACAGCCACCGAAAUUUUAGACAUAUAGUCUCAAGAAAUCAAUAAAGUUAUUGACCAGUGUGACCCAUUAAACUUGUUUUGGUUAUAUUUAACUCCAAACUCAGCUAUAACAGACAUGGAAAAGCCCACAGAUUCUACAUCUGAAACAAUUAAUCAUCUAAGAUCACGACAUAGAUUCCCUAGCUUCCUAGUUUUAACAUUCCUCAAUAGAUAAUCAGAAACGAGAUCUCACAUCAGAGAAGUAUUCAGAAAAGAGAAAUGUAAUGCAAUAGUUCCUCAUUAGCUUAAAACUACAAAUCAUCAACCUUCUAGGUCCACUAAAGAAACAGAAACAGGGCCAGAAAACCAUGAAAAAAUACAGCAUUCCUCGUCUUCUAGAAUGUUUUUUAACAAAUGGGCCAAAUGAUUUAGCUUUGAUAACCUAUGAUCCAUCUGCAAUACCAUUUUUUCUUUCUUACAAAGAUAAGAUCGGGAUUACUCAUUGCUCAAUCCUACUUUCGGUUCUUACGAAUCUACACUUACAAGCAAUACCAUCUACUGUCUUAAACAAAUCCCAAAUCUCUUUCUUCCAGCAUAAAAUCUCUAACAAAAUCAAUCCAAAGACACAAAACGAAGCAGCAAUGAUUCAGGAAAGCUCACCUGGCAUUGAACAUCAAUCCCACUCUUCUUGUACUCAACAUGGAGACACCUUGUGAACUGAUCCACGUACCUGAGACAGAGAAGAAACAAGCAUGCAAACAAACAAUGUUACUUCUCAAUACAACUCGAAGCAUCAGGUUUCAAACAAAGAACGGUUCUUGAUCUGGAUGCCUUACGUUUUGGCGCCGGCAUAAACAGAGUAGAAAGGAUACGAAGGGAUAAGAGCAGCAGCACCAGAACCCAUAUUGAUAAUGGCUCCUCGCUUCCUCUGAAGCAUAUUAGGCAACACAGCCUGAGUAACCUUGGUGGUUCCUUCAACGUUGAUCUUGAUCAAGUUAUUAAGCAAAUCUUCAUCAACCUCGUGGAAGUACUUAGCGUAAGGAUACGACAUCCCAGCGUUGUUAAUCAGAAUACCAAUCUCCAAACCCUCGAUCGUCUCCUUGAUACGCCUCACGCCUUCAUCGAUAUCUCCGGAGAAAUCCAUCACCACCGUCUUGAUCUGGGUAUUACUGUACUUGGAUCUAAUCGAAUCGCAGACAUCGUUGAGCUUGUCGGGGUUACGAGCGACGAGUACGAGGUUGAGACCUUUCUGGGCUAACUGAAAGGCGAAAGCUUUACCGAUACCGUCGGUGGGUCCGGUGACGAUGGCCCAGGAUCCGUAUCGCCGGAGAUUCUUGCCGGGUCGGAGGAAGUAGAUGUAGAAAGAUCUGAGGAGGGAGAAGACGAAUUUGAGGAUGGAGAUUGAGCCGAGGGCGAAGAGGACGAGGAGCCAGGUGGGCUGGGAUUUGAAGUAAGUACAGAUCUCCAUGAGAGAAAGAAAUGGUUUUUCAGUCAAAUGAGAAGAGAAAAUUAGGGUUUUUUAAGGGGAGAGAGAGAGAUGGGAAGUGGGGGAAGAAGAAUUGAAUUCGACGGAAGAGACGAAGGUGGGUAGAAGUAGAUGAGCAGCAAACCACCGGAAUUAACUACUCUCUCUUCUUAACCUUCUCUGAUUUUAUUUUUAUUUUUAUUUUUCUGUUGUGUCGUCUUUCUUAAAUUUCGUUCAUGUGAAUUUGGAAACUUGGGACCUACGAUGUUGACAUUUCUAUUUACAUACCCAUAAAUGACAAACUCAAGCUCACAUGGUGACUUGAUAGACAAAACACAAGGAUUCAAAUGGUGAAAGCUGAAUAAACGGUUUACUUAAGCAAACGAAUGUAAAUAUUUGUUUUUUUAUGAUGUGUUCAAAUCAAAUGUGAACAAUGUAACUGGUCGGAGAAUCAACAUUUCUGAUGGAAGGAAAGGUGGAUCUAGUUCUAAUGUCGGCAAAGAAGUGAUCCUUGGGCACACUCAGCAAUUUGCUGAGAAGAUAAGCGACUUGAGGAAAACAAACAAAGGAAUGAUGUCAAUCGUCUCUGCAUACAUGGCUUUUAGGGACUAAAUUAAUCUCGUGUAUAUGAACUAAGCAUAAAUGAUUGAUAUGAUGAGUAAGUUGUUUCUAUAUUCAUAGACUAAUUUUUUAGCGAUCGAAUGAACUGAUAUGGCUUUAUUUUGUUGGAAGCAGCUAAGAUGUAUUUAUAAGAGAAAACAGAUUUUGGAUUUUGCUAAUUAUGAGACUAGGAAACCGAUGGAUGUGUGGUUUUGACAGGUGCGACAUAAUGUAAUUGCAUCAAGGUAGUCUGUUUUGAUGUCCAUUAUAUCUAAAAUUGCGUUUUAACACCUUUGUCGCAUGAAACAUUUAAUGCUUGUUUAGUAUUUAGGAGUUGUGCUAUGGUUCUUUUGUUGAUGAUUCUUUAAAAAGUGAGCAUUUUACCUCGGCUCCUAGAAAUUUUCUUCCUGUUGGAUGGGAUUUGUCGUUGUAGUCGAAUGUUUCAUCAGCUUUUUCAUCACUUAUCAAUUAAUAAACACAUACAAAUCAUAUUAUUCGUAAAAAUAAAACAUGAAAACAUUUGACAAACACAUGAAGAAGAAUAACAUUGUGCCUUAAAUAGUUCCCCUUCAUAACUUACUUAAAUUUAUCAACAUGAUGAUUAUUUUGACAUUGAAAAAAUAAUGCUCAAAUGAUGCAUUCUAUGCAGACUCAUUUUAAUAAUAUUGACAAAGUAUGAAGUAUGGACCUUUUGAUAUAUGUUUUUAGUACCAAUUUUCAUUUGAGCAAGUUUUGAGCAUGACUUUCCUAUAAAUUGGAUAUCCCAAGAAUUUUGGCGGAUCAGAGCUUUGUUGUUGUGGGCUGCGUGUCAGUGGCUCUUUCGUCAUGGAGAAUUGACUUUAAGGUGGUGGUAAUAUGUGUUAGUGUUGUAUACUUAUUCAUCACCGAUAAUACUCAAAUAAUGCAUUCUAUGCAGACUCAUUUUAAUAAUAUUGACAAAGUAUGAAUAUAGACCUUUUGAUAUAUGUUUUUAAUACUAAAAUUUUCAUUCGAGUAAGUUUUGAGCAUAACUUUUUGGACAUAUUUAUUUCUAAAAUUUGGUAAAGAAACAUAGAAUCUCAAGCAGAUGACAACAACUCUAGAGAAGGAAGCGGUUCUACCAAAGGAAGCAGCUCUGCAGAACAAGUGGCCAUUUCAAAAUCCUCCAACAAGCUUCCCCCAUCUCUAAAAGAAAUCUGUGAUGAACAAUUUACUGAGAAGGUCUUUGACUCAGGUAAUCUUAUGUGCUUUUACUUCUCUUGCUAGAAAUGAAUGUCUUUGUAGUCCUUUACUGAUUCUUGAGCGGGUUUGUUUGGUUUCUAUAUGAAUCUCCUCAUAGCUAUUACUUGUAUAUAAAAUAAAUGUAGUUAUUCAUUAUGUUGUUAACCUGCAUAUUCUUACAAACAAAACCUUAGAGUUAAUGGAAUCUUUCGUUGAGUUGAAAGCUAAAAUUUGUCAUAAAAAUGAGAGUAUAUCUUUAUAUCGCUAUAUAGAAUUGUGCACGGAAGAUGUUAAUCCCCCAAGUAGUGCUUUUACCACCCCUAGUGGAACACUAUACUGAUACAUUAUCCUGUCAUUUUUGUCUCAAUGAAUAAUGACACGUUUUUUAAUUCAUUGCGGUCUUAGUAAACUGUUUGAUAUACUUUUAAUUUACAACAAGAGCUGCAUAAUUCCCCUAUUUGAUAUCCACAUGAACUUCUCGAGAUGUUCUGAUUCAAUUUGCCUUAAAUAUUCUGAUAAAAUCUGCAAAAAUAUUAUACCACUAUAGCGUUAUACACAUUAGGGUUCAAUUUCAUGUAUGCUUUCCCGUAGACUGUCUUCUUCAACUGUUAUGCCUUUUUCAACUUUCGUUUAGCCGACUGUGAUUAAAAAGGAGAAUUCUGAUAAUACAUACUCAAAUAUAGAAUAUUUACAAAAAACAAUAUUAUUUUGCACUUUUACUAGAAAAUAUUUCUAUUUUUUUUAUUAAGAUUUAGGUCUCCAUUUAUAAAUUUUUUGUAAAAUUAUUUUUAAGCAGUGGUUUUGUCAUCUUUCACCACAAAACAUGAUAAACAUUUCAUCUAAAGUGUGCUAACAAUUCGGUUGUCUUAAACAUAUCACCUAAUUAACUCUUAAUUCUAGACUUCUAGUUAAUGGCCAUAUAUUUCCAUUUUGUAUGUGUGAACUUUACUGGACUAGCCUUUAACUCUAUCAACUCAAUUGUAUUUGAAUUAAAGUUUUGUAAAUAAAAAAGUCACUAUACUUAUUAAUUGGGCUAAAGACAAAUUUAGAAGCUGUAUACACAAAACUUAACUGUUAUUUCAAUUUUUUUAUCACACUAAAUAUUUGGUCGAAACUAUAAAAAUUAUUUGGAGUCACACAUGUAUAAUCAAUGUGUUAGGAUCACUAUUUAAAAUAAUCAAAACUUAUAUGAUUAUUUUGAUAUUAAAACAAAGACUAAGGACAUAAGUGUUAUAAAAAAUUAAUAUAAGGAUGCAUUUAAUAAUUUCUAAUUUGAUGACGAGCCGAAUUAGAAAUUAUUUCUCUAUAUAAAUAGAAAGGUUAUGGUCUCUAUGAUAACUCUAGCAAUAAAUACAGAAAUUAUCCGCAUCUCAUUAACAGAGACAUACAGUUAUUCAGUUGUUGUUGUAGAAGAAGUAUUCCUAAAAUUCAGAGCAUAAACCAUAGAUCCAAAAGGUACGCUUCUGCUUCUAUUCUUAUUAAUUAGAAACUGUCAUGUUAUAUUAGUUUAGUGGUUUAUAAAAAAAUAAAACCUUUCAGAAACUGCAACAUAAAACUUGUAUAGGCUAGAGGAAUAUUAUUUUUUGGUAAAAGGUUAAGUUUUAAACCAUUUUCGAUUUUUUACAGGAGACAGAGAUACAAUAAAAAAACAGAUUAACCAAAAAACUACAGUAGAUUAACGAAAAACGACAAGAAUAAAACAGAAAAACAGCAGGCUAGAGGAAUAUGGUGUUGAAUAAUGUAAACUUUAUAGACAACUUUAUACGUCAUGUGUGUUGAGUUUAAUAUCACCUUCCACUUGGAACAAUGGUGUUGUUGCCUUGUUGCUGAGCUUGCUAAGGUUGGGUUGUGGGUUAGUUGAAGACAGUGGCGGAUCUAGAAAAAAAAUUAGUAGGGGACAUAACUUUAUAAAUAAGAAAAACAAAUUUUAGUUGGGGGCACUUUUUAUAUUUUAACACUACAUUAAAAAUAUUUUAAUUAAACAUAUCUAAAUUAUUUAAGAAAAAUUAAAAAGUAGUAAGGGGCACAGGACUCUGUCCGACGUAAGGUAGCUCCGCCCUUGGUUGAAGACAUAGUGGACAUGCAGCAAAUAUAGUUCUUUCAUAUUUAAAUUUAUCUACAUUUACAUAAUUUUGCAUUCAUUAUACAAAUAUACUGUAUUGUAUAAUAUAUGAGAUAAUAUACUUUAUUUUUGAAAAUAUAUACAGUAGCUUUUUUUUGUCAACUAGCUUAAUUUUGUCAAUAGAGUUUUUUAAACUCAUUUGUUUUUUGAACUUGAAAUAAAGGUUCGUGAAAUUGUGUGCGACACCACUUUAACAAAAGCAAGUAGCCAAAGGAGAAAAGGUGAAACCGAUGCCUUUAAUUUUCCGGAAUGUAGAAAAAGAAAAAGCUAAUCCGAAUAUAUAAAGAAAGACAAAUUCUCUGUGACCAUUCCAUUGCACAGACUCACAACUUUAUAGAGCAAAAGCAAAAACAAUGUGGAGUUUCACCUUUUUUUCUCACUGCAUUCUCAUCACACAGUUUUUCUUUCUUUUCUCGUGAACCUUAAAGCUUUUGUUUUAGAGCAUCGAUGUGUGCGUGAUCUUCAAUGGGUUUAUGCUCAGCUCAACUAGCUGUAACAUGUUUGUUCAUAGUAGUACCUCAUGUUCUGUCUCAAGUCGCAGGUACAUUCUUGCCCAUAAUCUGUUUGUUUAAUUGCUCCAAAGAACUCUUCUUCUUGAUGUGUUCAGUGUUGUAGAACAUGUUUUUGAUGUCCAAUUUCAAAGUAUUAUCUUUAGGUUUAGUAAACAAGGGUUGCCUCAAAGUCUCCAAUUUUCGACUGUUGUUAAAUUAAAAAUGUCCACAUGAAAGAUUGGUGCAAUGGGAUUUAAGCGAGACUCUUUCUUGUCGAGCGUUUUGCUGUAAUUAGUGGGAAAUGAUUGUAAUUUUGAUGAAUGACUAUAUUUUGCAGAGUUUGUAAGUAUAGAUUGUGGUGGCUCAAGUAACUACACGGACCCGAGAACUGGACUAGGAUGGGUUUCAGAUUCAGAGAUUAUCAAGAACGGAAAGGCAGUAGCUUUGGCAAGUACCAAUUUGAACUCGAUGCAAUACCGUAGCAGGAGAGAUUUUCCAACGGAUAAUAAGAAAUAUUGUUACAGACUCAGCACCAAAGAGAGAAGGAGAUACAUUGUCAGAACGACAUUUCUUUACGGUAGCUUGGGAAGUGAAGAAGCCUAUCCAAAGUUUCAACUCUACUUAGAUGCAACGAAAUGGGCUACAGUGACAAUUCAGGAGGUCUCUAGGGUUUAUGUUGAGGAAUUGAUUGUAAGGGCAACUUCAGGUUAUGUGGAUGUGUGUGUAUGCUGUGCUAUCACCGGCUCUCCUUUCUUGUCCACUCUCGAGCUUCGCCCACUGAACCUUUCGAUGUAUGCCACUGAUUACGAGGAUAAUUUCUUCUUGAAGGUUGCUGCCAGAGUGAAUUUUGGUGCUCCAAGCAUGGAUGCCUUGAGGUAAAACCCUAUUGAAACUCUUAUUUCCAUUACAUCAUUCACAAGUAUAAUUUACAAGCAUCGAAAAUUGCUGAAAGACUUUCUCUUUUAGGUACCCUGAUGAUCCAUAUGACAGAAUCUGGGAGUCAGAUGUUAAUAGACGGCCAAACUAUCUUGUUGGUGUGGCUCCUGGAACGACAAGAAUCAAUACAUCAAAGACUAUAAAUACGUUGACUAGAGAGUAUCCGCCUAUGAAAGUCAUGCAAACAGCAGUAGUUGGAACACAAGGACUGCUCAGCUAUAGAUUAAACUUGGAAGACUUCCCUGCUAAUGCUCGGGCAUAUGCUUACUUUGCUGAAAUUGAGGAUCUUGGUGCUAAUGAUACCCGGAAAUUUAAGUUGGUGCAGCCAUACUUCCCUGAUUAUAGUAAUGCGGUGGUGAAUAUUGCUGAGAAUGCCAAUGGGAGCUAUACUCUCUAUGAACCUAGCUACAUGAAUGUUACUUUCGAUUUUGUUUUGUCAUUCUCAUUUGGGAAGACAAAGGAUUCUACGCGAGGGCCACUCCUAAAUGCAAUUGAAAUUAGCAAGUAUCUACAAAUAUCUGUGAGAACUGACAGGAAUGAUGGUGAGUACUAGAGGCUACUGCUUUGUAAAUUCUUCUCUAUAUCUUUUUCCCCAUCUGUGAUGCUGCUGAAAACAUGCAAGUCAAAAUUUGUUGAAAAGAGCUUACAUAAGUUUUCUAAUUCUGCAGUGUCUGUUCUUGAUGCAAUUCGUUCGUUGUCCCCUGAUAGCGAUUGGGCCAAUGAAGGCGGAGACCCUUGUAUCCCAAUUCUUUGGUCGUGGGUAAACUGCAGCUCAACCUCACCACCCAGAGUCACGAAAAUGUAAAUAUCUACAAAACAAAAUUUUACACAAGUAAACAGAGUUUGUGAAAUUUAAUGCUUGAGAUGAUGCAAAUUGACCCUGUUGUGUGCAUCUUACAACAGUGCUCUAUCAAGAAAAAAUCUGAGGGGUGAGAUUCUGCCUGAUAUCAAUUAUAUGGAGGCAUUAACAGAGUUGUGAGUUGUUCGAUGCUGCAUUAAAGAUAUAUUUCGUGGAUUAGUCUCUCUUUGUCUCUGUUAUUCUUUAGUUGAGUGAACUCGCUCUUUUAUAGAUGGCUGGACGGUAAUAAUUUGACUGGAAUCCUUCCAGACAUGAGCAAACUUGUCAACCUGAAGAUCAUGUAAGCUUGGCAAUCUAGACCAAUAUUUCUCUUAUAUCUGAUGACACUCGAAUACCAGAAAGAUUUACUUUGCCUCGUCUCUUUUACAGGCAUCUAGAAAACAAUCAACUUAGUGGCUCACUCCCACCAUACCUUGUCCAUCUGCCUAACCUACAAGAACUGUAUGUAAUCACAAUGUUUGUGAAGCAUUUUGGUUGCUUUAGCAGUGAAUUAUACUACUAUCUUGGCUGCAAUUAUCCACUCUAUGCAUGGCAGUUUUAACACUUGUUAUUAUCUGGCAGGUUUGUAGAAAAUAAUUCUUUCAGAGGAACGAUUCCUUCAGCAUUGUUAAAAGGGAAAGUUUUGUUCAAGUGAGUAUGCUACAUGUACAAGUUGAUUUGUCGAACACAAAAGCUCACAGCAAAUCAAAGAUAAAUUUAGUCUUUUGUCACAGACUGAGUUCAACACGACUUUUGAAAUAUUUUUGAUGGAGUUUCCCCUUGAAGUGUUAACACGCAGCUGUAACAUGCUUUUCUCCAGGUAUGAUAAUAAUCCUGAGCUUCAGAACGAGGCACAUCAAAAGCACUUUAGGCUGAUACUCGGGAUAUCAAUCGCAAUUCUGUUGCUAAUAGUUGGAGGAAGUCUUGUUUUACUUUGUGCCCUUCGAAAGAGGAAAAGAGCUGAUAAAGGUAUAUAGACAUUGGAUUUUGAUCAAAUAGCUGUUAUCAGGUUUUCCCCAAGUGUAGGAAAAUAUAACUCUUGUUUCUUUAGGUGAUUCCACGGGGACUAAGACAAAAGGUUUGGUAGCUUAUUCAGCUGUGCGGGGCGGACACUUAUUAGAUGAAGGUGUAGCAUAUUUCAUAUCGCUUCCUGUGCUUGAAGAGGCCACCGAUAAUUUUUCCAAGAGAGUUGGAAAAGGAAGUUUUGGGUCUGUCUACUAUGGUAAGAUGAAAGAUGGGAAAGAAGUUGCAGUUAAGAUAAUGGCAGAUCCUUCUAGCUACUUGAACAGACAAUUUGUGACUGAGGUAUUGAGCAGACUUCAAAUGCUGAUUUUGGCUUUUUUGUGCCCCAAAAUUUCUUCAUUAGACGAUUUAAUUGGGACAAACGUGCAGGUUGCUCUAUUAUCAAGAAUUCACCACAGGAACUUGGUCCCUUUGAUUGGAUAUUGCGAAGAAGCAGAUCGGCGUUUAUUGGUUUACGAAUAUAUGCACAAUGGAACCUUGGGAGAUCACUUACACGGUUUGUACAAAUUUCCCAGAUACUUCUCAUGCCUAAGUUUAGCUUUUCAUUCUGCGAAUGAUUCAUGAAUUCAAUUCCUGACAGGUUCAAGCGACUACAAGCCAUUAGACUGGACAACUCGGCUACAAAUUGCACAAGACGCUGCCAAAGGUUUGUAGUAAAAAUUCAAGAUUAUAUCUUUAGUGUGGCUAUAUAUAAUAUGAAUCCAUUGGACAGACAAAAACUUCAGAUUAUUACAGGUCUUGAAUACUUGCAUACUGGCUGCAAUCCUAGUAUCAUUCAUAGGGAUGUGAAAUCAAGCAAUAUACUCCUGGACAUUAACAUGAGAGCCAAAGUUUCUGACUUUGGACUCUCCAGGCAGACAGAGGAAGACUUGACUCACGUAUCCAGUGUCGCAAAAGGGACUGUUGGAUACCUUGAUCCAGAGUAAGGCCAACAAUAACAAAAUAUAGUCUUCCAUUUUUAUGAACUGAGACUGAUACGGCAUUGUUUUGACAGGUAUUAUGCUUGUCAGCAGCUGACUGAGAAGAGCGAUGUCUACAGUUUUGGCGUUGUUCUUUUUGAAUUACUCUCUGGAAAGAAACCAGUCUCAGUGGAAGAUUUCGGUCCUGAACUGAACAUAGUUCACUGGGUAAGCAGCUCUACAUCUUCUUUUCUAUUCGAAAGUUUUCACCUUUCACAGUUUUAAAAUUACUACAUCGACAACGUCAAGAUGCAAACAAACCACAAAUCCCUUCCUUUUACAUCUUUCUUGUUCAUCAACAGGCAAGAUCACUGAUCCGUAAAGGAGACGUAUGUGGGAUCAUAGAUCCAUGUGUAUUAGGCAACGUGAAGAUCGAGUCAAUCUGGAGAGUAGCAGAGGUCGCAAACCAAUGCGUUGCGCAGCACGGGCAUUGCAGGCCAAGUAUGCAGGAAGUGAUAGUGGCGAUACAAGACGCGGACAGGAUCGAGAGAGGAAACGAGAACGGGCUUAAGUCAUCGACUUCGAGCAGCUCAAAGGCGCAAUCAUCUCGUAAGACCUUGCUCACUAGCUUCCUGGAGAUAGAGAGCCCUGACAUCUCAAGAAACAGCUUAACUCCAUCUGCUAGGUGAACCAGUCCUCUUGAGGCUAAAGCUCUCAUGUUUAGACUUACCAUUAUAAUUUAUAUGAAUGUGUGUAUGUAUGUAAUGUAUGUACUACGUAGUGUGUAUUAAAAUGUAUCACACACUUCUAACGUCAAUUCUAUAGAUGAUGUACCUGACCCAAUUAAAAAGAAUAUUUCUUCUUUCUUUCUUUUUUGGCAUUUUGCUAUCACUGGAUAAGAAAUCACAUACGUAGACGAACCAGAAGCAAGAAACUUGAGGAUAAUGGCUCCAAAAAUUCAGACUUUUGAGAAAAAAAACUCAGAAUUUAUAUUUAGGACACUUGCAAUCUUUCUUCUUCUUCACCGUUUCUCAUUUGUAGCCUAUCUUUCUCUCAAAACUCAAUUCGAAUUUUGCUUCAUCCCAGUCUCGACGAAGAAGAAGAAGAAGCAGAGCUGUAAUGGCGGCCACAGCUCCAAACUCGUUACGUUCUUCAAAUUUCUUCGGAUCCAACAUCAUAAUCUCAUCUCCCACACCUAAAACCACAACAAAGCCAUCGUUUCCCUUCUCCUUAAUCUCUCGUGGAAGUCGAUACCAAAUUACUCGAUCGGCUCUGCGAAUCGAAGAAGACAAUGGAAAACCCAUAAAGUCAUUGCCGUCGCGAGUAGCCUUAGCAGCGAUUCUCUUCUCAUCGAUUUCUUCCUCGCCGCGAGGAGCUCUAGCUUUGGACGAACCAAUUGCGGCGACCCAAACCGUCGUUGUAGAAGCUCAAGCAGUGAAGCCGUCGACGUCGCCGUCGCCGUUCAGUGAGACCCAGACGAUUACGGCGCCUAAUCCGAAAGCCCAAUCAUCAUCAUCGGAUCUUCCGGAGGGAACUCAAUGGCGGUACAGCGAGUUUCUAAACGCGGUGAAGAAAGGUAAAGUAGAGAGAGUCCGGUUUAGUAAAGACGGUUCCGUUCUUCAGCUUACCGCCGUCGAUAACCGCCGUGCCUCCGUCGUCGUCCCGAACGAUCCGGAUCUUAUCGACAUCUUAGCCAUGAACGGAGUCGAUAUAUCUGUCUCUGAGGGAGAAUCAUCCGGUAACGACUUGUUCACUAUCAUCGGAAACUUGAUUUUCCCGAUCUUGGCGUUUGGUGGUCUCUUCUUGUUGUUCAGGCGAGCUGGAGGCGGUCCCGGUGGUCCUGGAGGUUUAGGUGGUCCAAUGGAUUUCGGACGCUCGAAAUCGAAGUUUCAGGAAGUGCCCGAGACUGGUGUUUCGUUCGCAGAUGUUGCUGGUGCUGAUCAAGCAAAGUUGGAGUUGCAAGAAGUUGUGGACUUUUUGAAGAAUCCAGAUAAGUACACAGCAUUGGGUGCUAAGAUUCCUAAAGGGUGUUUGCUUGUUGGACCGCCUGGUACUGGUAAGACACUCUUGGCCAGAGCGGUGGCUGGAGAAGCAGGUGUGCCGUUCUUUUCCUGCGCGGCUUCGGAGUUUGUGGAGCUUUUUGUGGGUGUUGGUGCGUCUAGAGUUAGGGAUUUGUUCGAGAAGGCUAAGUCUAAAGCGCCUUGCAUUGUGUUCAUUGAUGAGAUUGACGCUGUUGGAAGGCAGAGAGGAGCUGGUAUGGGAGGAGGAAAUGAUGAGAGGGAACAGACGAUUAACCAGUUGUUGACUGAGAUGGAUGGGUUUUCUGGCAACUCUGGUGUGAUUGUUUUGGCAGCUACGAAUAGACCGGAUGUUCUUGAUUCCGCGUUGUUGAGGCCUGGAAGAUUUGAUCGGCAGGUCACGGUGGAUAGGCCUGAUGUGGCUGGGAGAGUCAAGAUUCUUCAGGUUUCAUAGCUGUUUUUAUAAAAGGAUUUGUGGUUGUCUCUGGAGUAGUGUGAAUGACUCUUUGAAGGUUUCGUUUUUAUUGUAGGUUCAUUCUAGAGGCAAGGCACUUGGUAAAGAUGUGGACUUUGAUAAGGUUGCAAGGAGGACUCCUGGUUUCACUGGUGCUGAUUUACAGAACCUGAUGAAUGAAGCGGCGAUUCUUGCGGCAAGGCGUGAGCUUAAGGAGAUAAGCAAGGACGAGAUCUCUGAUGCUCUUGAGAGGAUCAUUGCUGGACCUGAGAAGAAGAAUGCUGUUGUCUCUGAUGAGAAGAAGAGACUUGUUGCAUACCAUGGUUAGCAUUAUUUUCCUGAUUCUAUGUUGUUGAUGAGACCAUAUGGGAUUUUUUUUUUUUUUUCUGACAACCUCAAGUGAAUUUUGAAUUUGCAGAGGCUGGUCAUGCUCUAGUCGGUGCUCUUAUGCCGGAAUACGAUCCGGUUGCCAAGAUUUCCAUCAUUCCUCGUGGCCAAGCUGGUGGGCUUACCUUUUUCGCACCGAGCGAAGAAAGACUCGAGUCUGGAUUGUACAGUAGAAGCUACCUUGAGAAUCAAAUGGCUGUUGCACUUGGUGGAAGGUUAGUUAGUAGUAAUGGCCUCAACACAAGAGCCAGGUUUUUGAAUUUUCCAAAGGGUUUGAUUGUGUUAAAACUUAAAACCAUCUCUCUCUCUUGUGUUGGCUAUGUCAGGGUUGCUGAGGAGGUAAUCUUUGGGACUGAGAAUGUGACGACUGGAGCAUCAAACGAUUUCAUGCAAGUGUCUCGUGUGGCACGUCAAAUGAUUGAGAGAUUUGGGUUCAGCAAGAAGAUUGGACAAGUUGCCGUUGGUGGCCCCGGUGGAAAUCCCUUUAUGGGUCAACAAGUAUAUAUUGCUACAUGAACUUGGUUUCUUGGUUUCGUCGUUAGCUUUGUUGGUUUGGAGAUGUUCAUAUCUAUGAAAUGUUUUUUGUGCAGAUGUCUUCACAGAAAGAUUACUCAAUGGCAACUGCGGAUAUUGUAGAUGCUGAGGUGCGAGAGCUGGUGGAGAAGGCAUACAAGAGAGCAACGGAGAUCAUAACAACUCAUAUUGAUAUCUUGCACAAGCUUGCGCAACUCCUGAUCGAGAAAGAAACUGUUGACGGAGAAGAGUUCAUGAGUCUCUUUAUUGACGGCCAAGCUGAGCUGUAUGUUUCUUGAUUCAUCAAAAUCUAUAAGUUAACAUUGCGCUCACAAUACCAUUAGCCCAUGUAUACUAGACCAAUACCUGCUCGUAUAUAUACUUCUUUUGGUAAACAAUCCAAAGUUAACAUUGCUCACAAUAUCAAAAAUCACUCUACAUCCCCUCUGAAUGAUCUUAAUUGAUAAUCACUUAUGGACUUUUAGAUAUAUGAUUUGUGUUCAUGUACAUCUUCGAUCUAUUCUUCAGUAUACACAGAAGUUUCUUUCUUUCUUUUUUCUCUUUACAGUCCAAAUACUUUCUAGUGUAAUGCAAUGUGUUCAGUUUACAAGCCGCUUGUCUUCCAAGAUGGAGGCUUCUUUAAGCAUGUUAGCCGAGUCUUGGAGCAUAUUCAGCUUUGCAAGAGCCACGGCCUGAAGGUAAAACGCAGUUGGCCAUUCGGGAUAGACGCACUGUGCUUGCAUCGCAUCUCGUAGUGCUGCGUCUGGCUGGUCGCAGAAGAGAUGGCACAUGCUUCUUCGUGCAUAAACAGUUGGAGAGAUCAUGAUCCCUGUUUCUAUGAACUGCAAAAAACAUGACUAUAUUACUACGAGAAAGUUAAUAGAAGGAAUUUUCAGGUGAGUAUGGUUUGUUUUCAGUCAUGCCUGAGUAUAUUUUUCGAUGGCAGAUUUGAAAUCUGUGUUCCGGAAAGCUGAAUCGCCUUGCUGUCUAGUGUUCCACACAUCUUUUAUCUGUUGAGCCCAUUGCUGGAAAGAGAGCUCACAAGUAACCUCGUCGUCUUUGUAAUCUGUUGCUUCAAGAAUCUGAUGUAGAGCUUCGAGGUCCAUACGGUGACAAGCAUCGUAAAUUAGAGAAUUCUGCGAUUCUGUUUCAGGGUUUUCGAGUUUCGAGAUUCCAAGCAUUUCAUAAGACGGAACAUCUGGUUUGUGUUGAAGUGUAGCAAGAACUGAGAUGAUAUCUUUGAUUUCCGGCCGGUCCUUUGGGUUAUUGUGGAGGCAUUUGGUUGCCAAAUCAAACACAGUGGCUGCUUCUUCCUCUGGAUAGUUUCCUUCUAAGUGUGAAUCUAUCAACACAAGUAAGUUUUCCUUUUGAAUUGUAUCAACCGCCUGAAAAGAGAUAAGACAUGGCGCCAUGUUUAACAAAUAGAACCAAACCAUUGUAGAAGAAUGCAAUAAUAGUCACUCACAUGGCUUGGAGGGACAUGUUUGCCACUAAGAAGAUCCAAAAGAAACGUCCCAAAGCUGAAGACAACACUCUCUGGAAUUAACGUACCUACCAGUAUAUAUAUACAUCAUUUGCCACACAACAAAACUUCUUGCAAUCUCUGAAAACGUUUUUAAGAAGAAAGUAAAGAGUAGUGGUAAGACAAAACGUUACCACUUCUAAGAUACUCGGGCGGUGUAUAAGCGAGAUUUGUGCUGAAGUUUUUGCCAUCUUUGCUAUGUUUCAUCCACCCAAAGCAUGAGAGACGAGGACUACCAUUCUGCCUGACAAAAACUCUUAGCCGUUUCUCACAGCAACAAAAUAAAAAAAAGACCAUUAAAUAUGUGCAAAUUAAAAUAGGGUUUACCUCAUCAAAGAGAACCCGAUAAGCAUUAAGAUCAUGGUACAAUUUGCGUCCACUCUGCCUACAAUAUUCUAAAGCUUCGGCUACAUAAAGUGCAGCUCUCAAUCGCAUAGCCCACUCCAUGGUUUGUUUCUCCCCUGUGACUCGAGCAAGAAAAGGCAAAAACUUGUCAAACAAGUAAAGAAACCUAAACACACAUAUUUACUCAGAAGAGUGAAGGAAGAAGGAAGAUAUAUAAGUUUUGGAAUAAUCUUACAGUGAAAUAGAUGCUUAGGGAGGGUGUCAUUGGGCAUGUACUCUGAGACAAGCAACCUUUCAUCUCCAUCACAGCAAUAACCUAUCAAAUUCACCAGUCUCAUAUGCCUCAUUUUCCCGAUAGCCCUAGCUUCUUCCUGCAUGAGAGAAUAAUUGGUAUUACCAUUAAACAUUUUACUUUUGAUAACAAGGUAUAAUCUUAAUCUGAAACCCAGACUAAGGAACUCGAUACAUCACAUUGACCCACAAGAUUAGUCCUCUACCAAAUGGAACAAACCACUAGACCACACGCUCUUGCUUUAUGUUGUUUCUAGGUGGCUUAAAUCUGUAAUGAACUGCUAACAGACUUUCUUGAGUGAGCAGAGGAAUGUUUAUUGUUGCUAAUCGUAUUAGAAUGGGUUUUAGGGCAUUCUAAACUUAUAAAUAUCGGUUUCAUUUACACAAUAAUAAAGAAACCUAGCCCAAUAUGUUUAGUUUUGAUUCUCACGAAUGCUCAACAGUUUAUCAUCAACAAGAAAAUGAAACAAUUUAGAAUAAGUUGAGGGUUUUUUUCAAAAAACAUACAGCGAAUUGUUUGGGAUCAGGCCAUGUUGAUUUCGAGAAUUUUUUGACGGCGAUUCGACGCAUGUCGCCUUUAAGACAACCUCGGUAAACAACAUUCGUUUCUUGGUCGGAACAAGAUGAUACGACAGCGUUUACGCUGAAGUUGUUCGUUGCGUCACGAAGAUCCGCUGCGGAGAACUCGGAGAAGUCCGGAACGUUGGAGAAAUGCCAUCCCCUUCCUCCGCCGCAGCCGCCGUCGCCGUCGUCUUUGUUGUUGUUACGGUGGUGAGGGUUACUGCGUUUGCCGCCACGACGGACGGAGAUAUCGUCGGAGUAUGUUUUUUUGGCAUGCAAUGACGACGGUUUCAAGAACGACGAUUUGCAGCAUCCCAUGACCCGAGGCGAGUCGACUCGUUGUAAAAACUCGUUCCUCAGACCAUUAAUUGUACGUUUGUACUUUCUUCUUUAAUUGUUUCUCCGAUCACUUUGGCAUAUUUGUUUUUCCUCUGCUUUCCUUUGCUUUUGCAACCUCCGUAAUUUCUAGGGUCUUUGCAAAGGAUCGUUGGUUUCAAGUUUCAACAAUAUAAGGGUUGUUUUGUCUUUUUCAUCUAACUGAAAAGUCUAAUUUCCCAUUCUCUCGCGCGAUAUUUUAGGUUUUAGUUUGUUUUUAUAACCAUUUUGGACCCAAUCAAGAUGAUGACAUACCGAAUUAAUUUUUUCUCCCAGGCACAUUUACCGAGAAUUACUGUUUUUUGACCCUAGAUCUACUUUUACCAUUCUCACCCACCUUUCUUUCCUUCUUUUAGUAACUUUUUCAAAUUUCUUAUCCUCUUUGGCUGGACUUCGCCGGGUUCACCCCGACACCCUGUCGGAGGGUCCGUUUUCUGCCACUGGUAAGCCACCCUCUCUCCCUGCCUGAAGCUUGAAGGUGUAUCCUCAGCUUUGUACCACCCCAAUCUAGUGAGGACAAGCUGAAAAAGAGUGGGUUCAUCCAUUUUCAUUCGAUUCGGCAUGGCUCACAAGAUUUCUCAACCUGAAAAAGGGAAAGCAAUAGAGAACAUGAGUAAUGAUCCGAGAUCUGUAAGAGUUAAGGUCAAAGACUCUGACAACUCCUCUCUACUCUUGAUGCACUCGCUCACUAUUGUUGGAAGGGUCACAAACCCUAAAUAUCAAAAAGUUUGGUCUAUCAUCCCUUUCUUCACCAAUCGAUGGAAGACAGCAGUCCGACCAAUAGGUGCAGACCUCGGUGAAGGCCACUUCCGAUUCCAAUUUGCUAGCGAGGAGGAUCUCCAGCUGAUUCUCGCUAACCGACCUUACCACUAUGCAAAGUGGAUGCUCAUCAUUCAGAGAUGGGAACCCUCUAUUUCUAGAUAUUUCCCCUCCCUCAUUCCUUUUUGGAUCCAAGUCCAGCGAUUCCCAGUGCAUCUCUGGACAAAAGAAACUCUUCAAAGCCUCGGUGACACUAUUGGCCAAUGUGAAGAGGUGGAUGUGACCCCCCUCACAGCUCGAAUCAGGGUCCAUGUUGACGAACUAAAACCUCUCAUCACAACCUCAAUAGUGGAGUACCCGAAUGGUGAUGAAGUCCAUGCCUCCCUGGUCUAUGAGAGACUCGAACGCCACUGCUCAAGAUGUAUGAGGCUCACUCAUGAAGAUAACCUCUGCUUUGAGUUCCCUUCUGCUCAUGGCCAGAAGAAGUCCCUCGAGACCUCAUCCCGAGUGAAGGAGCAUGGAACUUCCACCGGAGGAGCCCCACCCCAUGACUCCAUGAAGACGAAAUUUAGUGAAUCUUCUCAGCGAGUCCAGGUCCCCCCUAGAGGUGACUGAAUCCCUCCCCCUCCUCCCCCGAGGAGCGAUAUCCGUUCUGGAAUGGUUCCUGAUCCUCAGGGGAACCGUCUGAAGUCAGCUCACCUCCCCUUGGAAGAAAGCCAAGACACCCGCAGAUCGUCCACUUUCCCAAAGAACCGAGCCUCACCUUCUGAGUUUGGCUCGGUUGGACAAUCAAAGCACAUUAGACCCGGCAAAGCGGAGCGUGCCCGCCUCAGGGAAGCAGCCUUAUUAGCAACCCCUCCAAGAGAUCCCAUUAAAGCUGGAGAUUUCUCUACCUCCCAAACCUCAGGCAACAUCAAUCCUCCAACUCCCCCGCCACCAAAGCCUCAGGAAGCGCUCGCGCAAGCCUUGGCUGAGGUAAGAGAUGUUAUGCUUCGCUACUCAAACUGCUCGGAUCCGACUGAGAGUGCGGCUCGGAAAGAACGUUUUAGAUUGGCGGAGGAAUCUGGCCAACUCCUCGAAACCGCAAUCCAAAUGGUCCAAUCAACGAGAGGGCAUCUUAACCUUCCGGAAGAGAACUCUCCUGACAUUUCUCCUGCUCCUGAGCACGACCGUAUUCCGGCUAGGAUGAGACUUGGGCCCUUCAAUCCGGAGAUGGUUCUAUCUCCCGGUGGGGUCUCAAACCUCCCCCCUCUAGUUCCCCCUAAGCGCAAACCUGGAAGACCUCCAGGGCAAAAGAAUAAGCAACCUAUCAUCGGAUCUAUCGCAAGCACAAAUCCGAGGAAAAGGAAAGUGCGCCAAGUGAAAAAUUCACCUCGGAGGAAGCUCCUUAUGGGGUCAUCUUCAAGAGGAACCGGCAAGAACUCUGAAGACAGAAGUGGCGACCCCUCUGCGUUCAAGCCGAGGGAGAAUCAAUCGAUGGCCGACCCGCCUCAACCUAGCACCACCCUUAUCCCAAAAUCGAGGAGAAGUAAGCAGGAUUUUCCUUCUCCAUCCGAUCGGCUUCCUUAAAGGUGGUCAGCUGGAACUGUCAAGGGUUGGGGAACCCCCUGACAGUCCAGCGAAUCCGGGAGUUUCGUCGGAGGCUAUUCCCGGAACUCAUUUUUCUAUCCGAAACAAAAAAUUCUGAUGAAGUCGUGCAUAAGAAGCUCCAGUGUCUGAGCACGUUUCAACACCAUCUUGUUCCCCCACAUGGCAUCCGAGGUGGAGGACUAGCUCUUUUUUGGCGUCAGGAGCUAGAUUUCGAAAUCCUUGAGUCCUGUGACAAUUUUAUUGAUACAAAGUUGUGAUAUGAAGGCAAACUUACCUUCCUCACAUUCGUCUAUGGAAAUCCGGAGAGAUCAAAGAGGAAGGAAACAUGGGAUCACCUCAUCUCCCUGGCUCAAGCGAGAGAUGGACCUUGGUUCUUAACUGGAGAUUUUAACGACAUUACGGACAGUUCGGAGAAACUGGGAGGCUGAUGAGUGGAGAUUUUGACUCAUUCUAACUUGUGUUUACUGAUUGUUUUAGGAGUUUUUGGAGUCUUUUCAGGAAGUUUCAGGUGACUUGGAGGCCUUAUCAAAGGAUUGGAGUGUUUAGGAGGCAUUGGAGCAAAAAGAGAUGAAUUUGAGCAAUAAAGAGCUAUUUCACACGUUUUUGGAGAAAUCAUCCCCGGAGCACCUGCUCCCGGUUUGGACCCUUCGUAGAGCACCUGCUCCAGACGGGAAAAAAAUAAGGAAAUCGACUUUUACCUAAUUUUGGGAGGAGAAAGAGAAUAAAAAGCCCACAGCCGCCUGUGUUUUAUUAUCACGUUUUUCUACAGACUUUCUACGCUUUCUUUUUACAAUUUCCUGAACCAUAGAGUUUUUACUUGUAAGCCUUUGGGGAGAAGAAAUCUGCUACACUUUGAGAAGAAUUCUGAACCCUAUUAUCUCUUCUGCGAUUUUAAUUCAUGAAUUCCUUUCCAUCUGUUUCUGUGUUUCUUUUCUCCAUGUCUGAGUAGAUCUCUUAGCUAGAUUAAAGCGUUCAAAGGUUUCCAUGAGUUAGAGGAUUAGAUGCAAAUAGGGCUUGAUAUCUAUUGUCUUCACCAUUGUUAGACUUAAUGCUUAGGUUGAAUUGAUCACUCAAUCUGCGAUUUUAGGUUAAUCUGUUCAUCAAAAGUGUAAUAGGUUGCUAGAAUAAACAUUGGUGAGCGAUUUGUCCUUAGCCAACGACAGUUGAAGUUAAGGCAAAUCGUGAACAGAUCAAACCUGCUAGCUAAUGCUUGUCUGCAAUUUUCUAGGUUCAAACGACAGUUUAGGAUUUAGGUUGUUAGACAAAGUUAUCGAGAUCACGACAGUGGAUCGAUAAGCUUUUCUGUUUGAGUUCGAGACUUGCGUUACACUUGUGCCCUGAAUAGUCAUCUGGUUCUUAUCUCUGAAAUUCCUGCGAAUUGCUUUGGUCUAGUGCUUGUUUUAAUUUGAAUUUAAAUCGUUGUUUGCCAUUCUGUUACUUUUUAGUUUUCAAAACAAACCAUCUUUCGUCUUAGCUUUAAUUCAAUCCUCACAAAUUCAUAGAGUAACACUGGUCCUCUGGAUUUCGAAUCCUUUAUAUUACAACUACAUCACUGUUCUAUUGCAGUAGAAACUAGGAGUACAUCUAGUGAGAAUCAAAUUUUGGCGCCGUUGCGACGGGGACCAAUUCGUUACCUUUGAUUUUUGGUUUGAAAUUCAGACUAAGGCUUUACUAAUUUUUCUCUCUUGUUCUCUUGUUUGCGUGUGUUUCAGGUGUAUGUCAAACAUAUCCACAAGGAGCAACUGCACCGAUCUUGUUUCUUUGUCGAACACCGAUCUAGCAAGAGUCGAGCGAGAAAACAGACGUCAAAGGCCUAUUCAAGCUAACAUGGGCGAUCAAGGCAACAAUGGCAACAUGGCUGUCGAGGUUCAACAGCUUCGACAGCAAUUGGAGCAGCUGCAAAAGGCGCAGCAAGACAGGGAGCAGCCACAACCUGCUAUUGGAGAGAAGGACAGUCCGCAUGCUUACUAUCACAACAGGGCUGCGAUUGCUCCUCCAACCAUUCAGAGGCAAGACUUUGAGAUCAAACCUCAGCUGAUCUCAUUAAUGAAGCAGCACCUCUUUCAUGGGCUUCCUGCUGAGAUUCCGAUGGACCACAUCGAGAAUUUUGAGGAGAUUUGCAGCACGACUGGAUCAAAUGGGAUACCAGCCGAUUUCUUGAAGUGCAAGCUUUUUCCAUUCUCACUUGCGGACAAAGCUUUGCGCUGGCUGAAGUCAUUACCACCUGGGUCAUUGACUACAUGGGAAGAGUGCAGAUCAGCGUUUUUGGACCAUUUCUACACUAAGGCAAAAACUGCAGCUCUGAAGAACAAGAUCUCGUCGUUUAAACAGCAACCUGGUGAAGCUUUCUGCGAAGCUUGGGAGAGGUACAAGGAGUACCGAAGAGAGUGCCCUCACCAUGGGUUCUCUGAUGAGCAGAUCCUGUCAACCUUUUAUGAUGGUAUCAACUGGGAUUACAGGAAUGCUUUGAAUGCAGCUAGCAAUGGCGAUUUCAUGACUAAGUCCAAAGAAGUUGUUUAUGAGUUGAUUGAGAACUUAGCUGCAAGCUCCAGCAACAAAUCCCAAGAGUAUGACAGGUCUAGCAAAUCAGUUCAUAGUGUGGAGUUGAGCAAAAUCGAUGAGCUUACAGCAAAGGUGAAUCUGCUGUUGAGAGAGAACCAGAGAUCUGUGCAUUUUGCUGAUGAGGUUGGUGAUGCACCGCUUGCUCAAGAGUUUGUAGAUGCAGAGAAUAAUGAUCAGAUGGAGGUAAAUUUCGUGAAUGGACAAGGGUAUGUGCAGAAUCGCAGUUUCAAAAACUUCAGAAGCCACCCGAAUUUAUCCUACAGAAGCAACAAUGUUGAGAACCCUCAGGAUCAGGUCUAUCCGCAGCAAGGAGUGCAGAAUCAGUCAGGAUUUCAGAAGAACUUCUCCAGCAACUUCCAAGGAAAGCAGUUCAUCACCAAUCAGAAUCGAUUUCAAGGUGGAAAUCAGCAGAAGUUGCCUUUCAUAAGUCUACAGCCUUCUUCGAGUUCCUCAAAUAACUCGCAGGAUGAGCUGAAAAACUUGAUGCAACAGCUGCUGGUUAAUCAGCAAAAGUCUUCCAUGGAGAUUAAUGCCAAAGUGGACACCAUGUACAAUGAUUUGAAUGGCAAGUAUGAGGUUGUGUGGACUCAUGUGAAGAAGCUGGAUGUUCAGGUAGCUCAGACUGCAGAAGCUGUGAAGAGAUCACCUGGAACUCUCCCUGGAAAAGGUGAAAACCCCAGGAAUGAGUUUGUGAAUGCUAUUGAGCUUAAAAGUGGGAAGAUUCUACAUGCUGCACCAACAAGCUCUGUCUCAGAAAAGAGGAAGAAAAAGGACGUGGAGCACCUGCUCCAAAAAGAAGAACCAGCUCAUGACGUAAAAAAGACGAAUGAGCACUCUUCCUCCAUCGGAGCACCUGCUCCAAAAUCUGGAGCACCUGCUCCAGACGUAGAUUUGACGAGGGAGCACCCUGAGCCAACGAGGGAGCACCUGCUCCAGCCACAUGCCCCAGCAAACAUUCCUGCAAGAGUUUACACGCCUAAGGUACCUUACCCAGUUCCACCAAAGAAGUCUCGCAAGGACUUAGAGGAUGCAAAGUGCAGAGAGAUGCUGAAGGAUUUGACUGUAAAACUCCCUCUAGCUGAUGCUGUUCAGAUGAUACCAGCCCUUAAAAGAUACAUGAAGGGGUUAGUGUCUGGGAAAGCUGUUGAGAAAGAGAGUGUCAUGAUGGUUUCGAAGAAGUGCAGUGUUGUGCUUCAGAACAAAGUGCUGAAGAAGAGAAGUGAUCCAGGAAGGUUUGUUCUCUCAGUCAAGAUUGGGAAUGUAUUGUUUGCAAGGUCUCUCUGCGAUCUGGGUUCAAGUGUGAAUCUGAUGCCUUACUCUGUAGCCAAGCGAUUGGGUUACACCAGAUUCAAACCGACGAAAAUCUCGCUGGUAUUCGCUGAUAGAUCAACCAAAUUCCCUGUUGGUAUACUUGAGGAUCUGCAUGUUCAGAUAGGUGAUACACUCAUUCCAGCAGAUUUUGUGGUUCUGGAGCUUGAUGAAGAACCCAAGGAUCCUUUGAUAUUGGGUCGAUCCUUCUUAUGCACAACUGGUGCAAUCAUAUAUGUGAAAGAAGGAGUGAUAGAUCUCCAGCUGGGAGAUAUGGUGGUGCGAUUUGAGAUGAAUAAACUCUUCAAGAAACCAAUGCUGGACGGACAGACAUUUGUCAUAGAUGAUGGUUCAGGCAUUGCUGAAGAGGUUGCUGAAGAGGUUUUGGCCAUCGAUCCUCUUGAAGUUGCACUCACCAAAGCUGAAGGAGAACAUGGGUAUUUGAGUGAAGAAGCUGAUGGGUUUGCAAAAAUGCUGAAUGCAAGCACGAGAAUGCAAAGGCAGGUGGCGUAUAUGAGCUUAGAAGGCAAGGAGAGCUCACCUGCAGAAAAAGCCGACGGAGCACCUGCUCUGAAUCCUGGAGCACCUGCUCCCGACGGUUUGAUUGAUGGACCUUGGAGCGAAUUGAGAGCUCCGAAGCUUGAGCUCAAACCCCUUCCUGUGGGGCUCAGGUACGCGUUUCUAGGACCCAAUUCGACAUUCCCUGUGAUAGUGAACUCUGAAUUGAUUAAUGUAGAGAUUGCCUUGCUUCUUUGUGAAAUUAGAAAGUAUAGGAAAGCUAUAGGAUAUUCACUAGAUGACAUUCCAGGGAUUUCUCCUGAUCUUUGCAUGCAUAGAAUACAUCUAGAAGAUGAAUCAAUGACUUCUGUAGAACAUCAGAGGAGGUUAAACCCGAAUCUACAAGAUGUUGUAAAGAAAGAGAUAAUGAAACUUCUAGAAGCUGGUGUGAUCUAUGCAAUUUCAGAUAGUAAUUGGGUUAGUCCGGUUCAUGUAGUUCCUAAGAAAGGUGGCAUCACUGUGAUAAAAAAAGAUAGGAAUGAAUUGAUACCAACUAGAACUGUUACUGGGCAUCGAAUGUGCAUAGAUUACAGGAAAUUGAAUGCUGCAACUCGCAAAGAUCAUUUUCCUUUACCAUUUAUCGAUCAGAUGCUUGAACGCUUGGCUAACCAUCCUUAUUACUGUUUCUUAGAUGGUUACUCAGGUUUCUUUCAGAUCCCAAUCCACCCGGAUGACCAGGAGAAGACGACAUUCACAUGUCCUUAUGGCACUUUUGCAUAUCGCAGAAUGCCAUUUGGGUUGUGUAAUGCUCCGGCAACAUUCCAACGCUGCAUGAUGUCGAUUUUCACUGACCUGAUUGAAGACAUAAUGGAAGUUUUCAUGGACGAUUUUUCUGUCUAUGGAAGCUCCUUUUCUGUUUGUUUGUCUAAUCUGUGCAGGGUCUUGCAGCGGUGUGAGGAGAAGCAUCUGGUGCUUAACUGGGAGAAAUGCCAUUUCAUGGUAAGAGAUGGGAUCGUGCUGGGACACAAAAUCUCAGAGAAAGGGAUCGAGGUGGACAGGACAAAGAUCGAGGUGAUGACGAGUCUGCAGCCACCAACAUCAGUCAAGGGGGUUCACAGUUUUCUGGGCCAUGCAGGUUUUUACAGGCGCUUCAUCAAAGAUUUCUCGAAGAUUGCCAGGCCCCUGACACAGCUGCUGUGCAAGGAUGUGAAAUUCGAGUUUGAUGAUGCAUGUUUGGAGGCAUUUCACAGGAUAAAAGGAGCUUUGGUCAGCGCUCCUAUUGUCCAGCCACCAGAUUGGGAACUACCUUUUGAGGUCAUGACCGAUGCUAGCGAUUAUGCAGUGGGAGCAGUGCUGGGACAGAGGAAAGAAAAGAGGCUCCACGUCAUUUAUUAUGCUAGCCGAACACUCGACGAGGCUCAGUGCAGAUAUGCCACAACUGAAAAGGAGCUUCUUGCAGUGGUUUAUGCUUUUGAGAAGUUCAGGUCUUACCUUGUUGGGUCGAAAGUUGUUGUUCACACAGACCAUGCAGCUCUGAAAUACCUGUUGACGAAGAAGGACGCCAAGCCAAGGCUCCUUCGAUGGAUCCUUUUGCUGCAAGAGUUUGAUUUGGAGAUUAAAGAUAAAAAAGGGAUUGAUAAUGGUGUUGCAGACCACUUGUCGAGGCUGAAGAUAGAUGAUGACAUUCCACUAAAUGACAGCCUUCCUGAUGAACAAGUUUACGCCAUAGAAGUUUCUGGGUUCGACGAGCACCUGCUCCCCACCGGAGCACCUGCUCUGACGAGUUUUUGCAACCAAGUUGACAUAGAUCGGCAUUCUGGUUUCCCAUGGUUUGGAGAGAUUGCAAAUUACCUUGCUGCAGAGCAGGAACCUGCAGGUUUUGUGGGAAACAAAAAGAAGAAGUUUCUAAAGGAUGUGAGGCACUACUUUUGGGACGAGCCUUAUUUAUACAGGCAUUGCUCUGAUGGAAUCUUCAGAAGAUGUGUAGCUGACGAGGAGAUACCAGGAGUGUUGUUUCAUUGCCAUGGAUCCUCUUAUGCAGGUCACUUCGCCACUUUCAAGACUGUGUCGAAAAUUCUCCAAGCUGGGUAUUGGUGGCCGACGAUGUUCCGAGAUGCAGCGAGUUUUAUCUCUAGGUGUGACACAUGCCAGAGACAAGGGAACAUCAGCAGGAGGAAUGAGAUGCCUCAGAAUUUCAUCUUGGAAGUAGAGAUUUUCGAUGUGUGGGGUAUAGACUUCAUGGGACCUUUUCCACCAUCUUAUGGGAAUGAGUAUAUUCUGGUGGCAGUUGACUAUGUAUCAAAGUGGGUGGAAGCUCUGGCUAGUCCCACAAAUGACGCAAAGGUGGUUUUAAAGAUGUUCAAAUCUGUCAUUUUUCCCAGGUUUGGUGUGCCGCGAGUGGUGAUUAGCGAUGGAGGCUCUCACUUCAUCAACAAAGUCUUUGAAAACUUGUUGAAGAAGAAUGGUGUAAGGCAUAAGGUGGCGACCCCAUACCAUCCUCAGACGAGUGGGCAAGUUGAGGUUUCCAAUAGGGAAAUCAAGAACAUUCUGCAGAAGACUGUGAGCACCACAAGGAAGGAUUGGGCAGUGAAGCUUGAUGAUGCUCUUUGGGCAUACAGAACAGCUUACAAAACACCUUUCGGGACUACACCAUUCCACUUGGUGUAUGGGAAAGCAUGUCAUCUUCCAGUGGAACUUGAGUACAAAGCUGCUUGGGCAGUGAAGCUGCUGAAUUUCGAUGCAAAAAGUGCUCAGGAGAGGAGAGUAAUGCAGUUACAUGAGCCGGAGGAAAUUAGGCACCUGGCCUAUGAAAACUCGAAGAUUUACAAAGAAAGGACAAAAGCUUUUCAUGACAAGAGGAUCCUCAACAGAAGCUUUGCACCAAACGAUCAGGUAUUGCUCUUUAACUCUAGAUUGAAAUUGUUUCCAGGGAAGCUGAGAUCGAGAUGGUCUGGACCAUUCACCAUCAAGGAGGUUCGACCAUAUGGAGCUGUAGUGUUGCUGGACACUAAAGGAGGCGAGUUUGUUGUCAAUGGACAGAGGUUGAAACCAUACCUUGCUGGUCCAAAUAUCGCAGAGGGUGAAUCAGUCACCUUAAGCGAUCCUCCUCAAGCCUAAAUGGCUUUCCAAGUCAAGCUAAUGACUUAAAACAAGCGCUUGGUGGGAGGCAACCCACCGGUAAGAGUCUCUAACUUUGUGUCUUUCAAUUCUUAGCUACUAACUCUGUUUUUUAGGUUCUUUCUUUUCCAAAAAAAAAAAAAAAAAAAAAAAAAAAAAAAAAGUGGUAAAGCAGGUAGAGAGGUUUUCAGCGAUGGAGGUGAAAAGAAGAAGAAGGAGGGAGCAACCUACCGGAGCACCUGCUCCAUCUGCUAGGUUGGUUGCUCACCACGUAGAAUUCGACGAACGAGCACCCUGCUCUAGUUUGGAGCACCUGCUCUGCCAGGGUGUUUGGCGCUUCCAGGUAAGUUUUUAGGGGAAAAUUGGGGUUUUAAUGGGAACUCAGGGGCUAGUGUGCAAAUUUUAACAAAAGAUUUAUUUUACACAGAAUUUUACCCUACCUGAGUUUCCCCUUCCUUUUUUUUUUUUUAAAACCCCGACCCAUAAACACCUCCUCCUUCCUCCUUUCUUCUUCGCCAUACUUGAUACUUGAGCUCAAAACCCAGAUUUUUCAAACUUCACCGAUUUCAACGUUUUUUGAGUCUAAGUUCAUCGGUUUUUCGUCCUCUCUCCGUUUCUGCAACCAAUUUCGACACCCAGCAAAGAGCAGCAUCAGUUUACAUCUAUGUGAUUAUCCGUUCUACAUACACACAUGCAAAACUCUGCUCGAAAAAUUAGGUUGGAGAUUUUCUAUGGGCUUAAUUGUUUUCUUCUUCAAUGUUGUUCCAGGAAUGCCUCCCAGAACAAUGUUCAAGAAGAAGGGAAAGAAGAAAAACGGUGAGGGAAGUAAACCUACCUCAUCGACGUAUCCAUGGCCUCGCGAAGAAAACACACCGAUCGAAUUGCCUGAUGAGUUGAUACCCGAACCAUCGGACGAGCAGUGGGACCAAACGGACUCGUUCUAUUACAACAAGCUGCUCACCAUCAAACUGCAACCAAAUUUAGUGAUGUGCACAGACACACUAAAACGGUUGGGAAUCUUCGAUGAGGUGAGCAUCAUCCUGCGCAACACGAAGCUGACGCAACUCGCUUUCGAGGACGACGAUCUCUACCCUGAUCUGGUCCGCCAAUGCCUCGCAUCUGCAAAGUUGAGGUACGCAAAUCCGACGAAGCCAAAGGCCGAUGAAGCGACUUUCACUUUCUUUGCUGAAGGGAAGCGCUAUAGCAUCGACAUGGCAACGUUUUGCAUGGCUUACGGGUUUCACGACGAGGACAAAGAGCUGCGUUUCCCGAGUAAGUUUGAGGUUGCCAACCAAUUUUGGCAAACCAUCGCCUCCGGCCACUACAAGUCGAACACGGCAAGUGUAUCAGUCAUUCGCCACCCAGCUGUUCAAAUCUGUGCGAAAAUCUUCAACAACAUGCUGUUCAACCGCGAUUCUGGGAAUAAGGUAGCGCUGGAUGUUUUGAUGUUGCUUUACUUUGGUUGUGGUGAUUUGGUUGCAGACUCUUACAGCGUCAGUGUCCCGGUCGAGCACAGUAUCAACUUUGGAGUUCAGCUGGCGCAAACCAUAUGCGCAGUGAGGACCAAACCUUUUGGGAGUUCGCAGGUCAUUUACAUUGGGAGUCUCCUCACAGCGCUUUUCACUUUUGCUCAUAUUCCUCUUUGGUAUGCUACAAAAGAUGUGAGCCGAAGGAGAAUGGACACAGCCCAUCUGCUGACUUCAGGUUUUCUAUGCGAUGAGAACACCUACAGCUACAAAGGUGCUUACGGAGUUGCACAGCGCACGCCUCUCCCAAAUCCUGCCAUGACUGCACUAAACACUGCAGCUAACCUGCGUUUCCUGAUGGAGGUGCCCCUUUUAGCUGAUGCAGCACACGACGGAGCACCCGCUCCGAAAUCCGGAGCACCUGCUUCGAGUUCCGGAGCACCUGCUCGCGCCAGUUCUUCACGCUAUCCACAUUCACCGCAGGGAGAUGAGGAGCUGCCUGACUACAUUUCAGCUGAUGCUGGUGAGUUCGAUUUAGCUCCUAUCUCUGAUGAUCCUUAUGAUGCAGAGUUUCAGAGGUGGAUGGUCGCGUCUACAAAGAAGAACAACAGCCUCAUGAAGAGGUUGUUGCAGAUGCUUACCAGUGGAUGUCGUAGCAGCACAGCGACCGCAGCCAGUUCUCCGGAGAGGCACCCGAGACGCAGACGUCGCACUGGUGGAUCUGGUAGUGAGAGCCCAGAGGACACCACCACUCACUGACCGCUAGUAACAUCUCUCUACCACCAUUGUAUUAUCCGCCUUGGUUUCUUUUCUUUUAUUUGUUUCGACAGGAUUUUUUUUCUCUGCUCCUAUUUGUACACCAGGGACGGUGUAUAAUAAGUUCGGGGGAGGAUCUUGUCAUCUUUUGCAUUUUCUUGUGUUUUUCUUGAGUCAGUUUUAGUUUGUUUCUUUGAGUUAUUUUGUUUCUUUGAGUCAGUUUGUUAUAUGAGUCAAGUCAAAGCUCGUGGGAAUUAGGACCAAUUCUAUGAUGAUUUCUGACCAUUUGUGAAUCUUGACCACCUUCUUCUAGUGAUUAUUGCUGCAGAAUCAUCUAGAUCGACUAAUGGAAAAUCCAAAGACAAAGCAGUAGACUAGAGGAGCCCAAAAUUCUUGACACAUCCAAUGAACCUGAGCUAAUUUUUCAGCUUUUCAUUUUCCUCAUCGAUCAGGUUAGUGCUCAUAGGGCUUGAUUCCUCAUUCUUACCUGACAAAUAAAGACCUGUGUGAUAGAUUUGGUAUUCCUCUCUUAUGUUCUAAGCAUUGUUUCAGGCUGUUUCUAAAAAAAAUAUGAUCAAAAGGCAGAAAAGAUUGAAAUGAUUUUCUUUUAAAAGUAAAGGGUUAGGAAAAUUUCUAAGGAUCCCAUUAUUUUACUUCCAAAGUGGAAUGAUCACACAAGGGAUGGAAGCGAGGGGUAGGAAAAUUUCCUGUGACCCCAUUAUUCGCCUACACCUUUGAUAUAUGAUGAGGGGACAAACCGGGGAUUCGGUGGCAAUCACCAUCAAUACUCGCGUCUUUGAACCUUGUUAUAUGUGCCAAAAAAAAAAAAAAAAAAAAAAAAAAAACGAAACAGCUUGAAAAGUGAAUAAGUUCGGGGGAGAGGAAAGGUACUUUUGUGUAGUAUGGUCAAUUUGUUGAGGUAUAAGUAUGGGAACGAGUCUAGAAGGUCCUUAGCACUGGGUUUAUCGAUGAGACUCAGCGAUGAUGGGACAUGGAUGAUGUUAUGAAAUUGAGGGACUAAUCUGGAAAGCUGCAGCGUCUACGGAGAAGUACAUGGAGGUUAGAUUUUUGAUUGAUUUUGCAGCAGAUUGUCACAUGCCUUGGUCAGGUUUACGGUCUUUUGAGUUUUGCGAGUUCCCAGCUUUAUCCAGUCAUUCUUUUGGAGUUGAAUUUGAUUUUGUUUGAGGACAAACAAGGAUUCAAGUUCGAGGGAGUUGAUGAGUGGAGAUUUUGACUCAUUCUAACUUGUGUUUACUGAUUUUUUUAGGAGUUUUUGGAGUCUUUUCAGGAAGUUUCAGGUGACUUAGAGGCCUUAUCAAAGGAUUGGAGUGUUUAGGAGGCAUUGGAGCAAAAAGAGAUGAAUUUGAGCAAUAAGGAGCUAUUUCACACGUUUUUGGAGAAAUCAUCCCCGGAGCACCUGCUCCCGGUUUGGACCCUUCGUAGAGCACCUGCUCCAGACGGGAAAAAAAUAAGGAAAUCGACUUUUACCUAAUUUUGGGAGGAGAAAGAGAAUAAAAAGCCCACAGCCGCCUGUGUUUUAUUAUCACGUUUUUCUACAGACUUUCUACGCUUUCUUUUUACAAUUUCCUGAACCAUAGAGUUUUUACUUGUAAGCCUUUGGGGAGAAGAAAUCUGCUACACUUUGAGAAGAAUUCUGAACCCUAUUAUCUCUUCUGCGAUUUUAAUUCAUGAAUUCCUUUCCAUCUGUUUCUGUGUUUCUUUUCUCCAUGUCUGAGUAGAUCUCUUAGCUAGAUUAAAGCGUUCAAAGGUUUCCAUGAGUUAGAGGAUUAGAUGCAAAUAGGGCUUGAUAUCUAUUGUCUUCACCAUUGUUAGACUUAAUGCUUAGGUUGAAUUGAUCACUCAAUCUGCGAUUUUAGGUUAAUCUGUUCAUCAAAAGUGUAAUAGGUUGCUAGAAUAAACAUUGGUGAGCGAUUUGUCCUUAGCCAACGACAGUUGAAGUUAAGGCAAAUCAUGAACAGAUCAAACCUGCUAGCUAAUGCUUGUCUGCAAUUUUCUAGGUUCAAACGACAGUUUAGGAUUUAGGUUGUUAGACAAAGUUAUCGAGAUCACGACAGUGGAUCGAUAAGCUUUUCUGUUUGAGUUCGAGACUUGCGUUACACUUGUGCCCUGAAUAGUCAUCUGGUUCUUAUCUCUGAAAUUCCUGCGAAUUGCUUUGGUCUAGUGCUUGUUUUAAUUUGAAUUUAAAUUGUUGUUUGCCAUUCUGUUACUUUUUAGUUUUCAAAACAAACCAUCUUUCGUCUUAGCUUUAAUUCAAUCCUCACAUAGAGUAACACUGGUCCUCUGGAUUUCGAAUCAUUUAUAUUACAACUACAUCACUGUUCUAUUGCAGUAGAAACUAGGAGUACAUCUAGUGAGAAUCAGAGGCCCAACCCGAGCGGAAGGCACCUUCAUUGACUUUCGAUCCUUUAUGUCUGAGGGGGACCUCUAUGACCUCCAGUACUCCG
RNAcentral lists this long non-coding RNA (33484 nucleotides) under Eutrema salsugineum. RNAcentral's name for it is "long non-coding RNA (ESAL_LNC000081)". Lineage: Eukaryota; Viridiplantae; Streptophyta; Magnoliopsida; Brassicales; Brassicaceae. The record is from RNAcentral.